RNAcentral lists this small nuclear RNA (98 nucleotides) under Monodon monoceros (narwhal). Lineage: Eukaryota; Metazoa; Chordata; Mammalia; Artiodactyla; Monodontidae. The record is from RNAcentral.
UUAUACUCCAAUGAAGAUGUAAAAAAAAAAAAAAAAAAAGAUUAGCAUGGCCCCUGCGCAAGGAUGAUACGCAAAUUCGUGAAGCCUUCCAUAUUUUU